Non-coding RNA from Benincasa hispida (wax gourd), 2258 nucleotides. The record is from RefSeq and is a predicted model, not a curated record. Lineage: Eukaryota; Viridiplantae; Streptophyta; Magnoliopsida; Cucurbitales; Cucurbitaceae.
CCCAUCACACGGUAGUAGAUAUCGUAUUAGACUAUUAGCAUACUUUCAACUAAUUCAUGAGUUAAAUUUAUGUUGUCGUCAAAGUACAAGAAUGAAUAGAAGAUGUUUUGUCAUUCUACGUUAUUUAUUUAAGACAAUUGGCAGAUUAGUUGGAACUAAAGUUGUAGAUGUAGAGGAGAAGUGCCUGAACCUUGCUCGUUUACAUCUGGAUAAGAAAAUAGGGACACACUUGAAUGACAUGAUGUUAAGAAUCGAUUGUUGGAAGAAAAUUUGACGAUAUGAUGAGACAGUUUCUAGGUAUUUCAACUCCGUUUUAUUAGCAGUGUUAUGAUUACACGAAAUGUUGUUAAAAAAAACCUGUGUCAAUCACAAACUAAUGUACAGAUCAGAGAUGGCAAUGGUUUGAGGUACAGUUAAAAAAAACCAAUAUUAAUUCGGUGUGACUUUUUUGUUAGGUAUACGUAUGUACAUGAAUAUUUCAUACUUUAUUUUAUCACAUAAUUGUCUGGGUGCGUUAGAUGGUACGUACAUCAAGGUAAAUGUCAAUGCCACUAAUUGCCCAAGGUAUAGGACUAGGAAGGGUGAAAUUGUAACAAAUGUACUCAGUGUUUGUGAUACAAAUGGCGACUUCGUAUUUGCCUUAUCGGGGCAGAAAGGAUCCACAACUGAUUCUCGAGUUCUUAGAGAUGCAAUAUCACGACCUAACGGACUGAAGGUUCCGAACGAUAACUAGCUACAUAUACUAUCUCUUCUUACUCAUCAUUGUAUUAGUAGGAUAAGGUUUGAAAUGGUUAGACGUUAACUAGGGUAUUAUUAUCUAUGUGAUGUUGAGUACUCAAAUGUAGAGGGUUCCUUGGCACUAUAUAAAGGUGAAAUAUAUCAUCUUUCAGAGUGACAUGGAGGAGGUAAUGCAUCAACAACUCCACGUGAAUUCUUUAACAUGAAGUAUUCUUCUACACUGAAUGUCAUUGAGAGAGUGUUCGAGUUUCUGAAGGGUAGAUGGGCAAUCUUACAAGGAAAAUCAUACUACCCAGUGCAAAUCCAAUGUCGAACCAUCAAGGUGUGUUGCCUUUUACACAAUCUUAUCAAUAGGAAGAUGAAUAAUAGUGAACUGACCAAGGAUUUGGAUGAGAUUAACUCCAACUUUGCUACAACUGGGGGGAUGAGAUCAAUUACAUUGAGAGUUUAAAUGAAUUGACCCAAUGGAGGGAUGAAUUGGCAGAACAAAUGUUUUCUAAAUGGGAGAAUGUCAAGUUCCUCUAGAACCCCGAAUCACACUUGGACUAAAAAGGAAAAAGAGAAGUUUGUCGAGUGCUCAGUAGGUUUAGUCGCAUCUGGUGGAUGGAGAUCGGACAAUGGGACAUUUCAACCUAGGUACUUGGCACAACUGCAACGUAUGAUGGCACAGAAGUUGACCGGUUGUAAGAUUCAAGGAUCGCCUACUAUAGAUUGUCGAAUCAAAUUCCUAAAACAAUGAGAGGACCAACUUGUAGUAGAUUCAGUUGGGAUGAAGAAUUCCAAUGCAUCACAACAGAGCAGAAGACAUUCGAUGUCAUCCUGCAGCAAAGGGACUUCUACACAAGUCGUUCUCAUAUUAUGAUGAUCUGACGUACGUCUUCGACACGACAAGGAUAAGGCUACGGGAGCAUGGUCAGAGACCUAUUUAGACGUCGAGACUAAUGUGCCAAACCAUAUGAAUGAUGAUGUCCCCACUGGUGAAUCACAAGAUUUAAACAUCCCCACGAUGUCUAGUCAGGGAAUGGACAUGCCACAGAAUGAGAUGCAUGGAACAAGUAUUGGUUAGAGCAUUGAAUGAGGAAAUGCUUCAAGAGGAAGUCAAAGGAACCAAAGUGGAUAUCAAUCUGAAACGAUAGAGAUUGUUAAGAAUGUGAGGACUUUACAAAUGAUCCAUUGAAGGUGAUUGAUUGGAGAAUGGGCAAAAGAGAAGCAUGCAAUAGAGAUCAAACCGGGUGCUGAAGUCGUGAACCAAUUCCAAGAUAUACAAAAAUUGCAUAACGAACUUAUGUAAAUCAUAUUCUAUAAUGUGCAAGAUACAGAAAGCUUAUUAUCCGCUCAACUAUGAAGUUGGACUAUUGCAACCUUCUCCUUCAAAAGAAUGUUUGAUCAACCCAUAUUUUGGAUUGUUUUAAUGAACAAUAAUUACUUUGUUUGAAUUAUGCAUUUAAGCUUGUAGUAGAUUUGAUAUAUAAUCAUGCAAUUAUGAGUUAGCUAUUUUGUUUUAGAUUUUUUUACCUAAA